Molecule: non-coding RNA, 209 nt
Organism: Oryza brachyantha (malo sina)
Lineage: Eukaryota; Viridiplantae; Streptophyta; Magnoliopsida; Poales; Poaceae
Source: Rfam
AAUAACCUCAUUUUUCGUUUUUCUGUGUCCAACUUUUGACCUUUCGUCUUAUUUAAAAAAUUUGUGCACAAACCUAAAAAAAUAGUCACAUAUAAAGUACUAUUCAUAUUCUAUCAUCUAGUAAUAAUAAAAAUAUUAAUCGCAAAAAAAAUUUCAAAUAAGACGAACGGUCAAACGUUGGACACGGAAGAACGAAAAAUGAGGUUACU